AACUGCGGAAGGAUCAUUACAGAAUAAACUUUAUGGGUUGUAGCUGGCUCUUUCGGGAGCAUGUGCACGCCUGUCACUUUUGUCUUUCCACCUGUGCACCCUUUGUAGACUUUGGAAUUUGAAAACUAUCUGAAAGCUUUAAAAGGCCUUUGGUUUGAGGGAUUGUUGGGUCAGCUUCCCUUGCAGGUUCCAAGUCUAUGUUUUUUAAUAUACCCCAUAGUAUGUUUUAGAAUGUUAUCAAAGGCCCUAGUGCCUAUAAAAUUUAUACAACUUUCAGCAACGGAUCUCUUGGCUCUCGCAUCGAUGAAGAACGCAGCGAAAUGCGAUAAGUAAUGUGAAUUGCAGAAUUCAGUGAAUCAUCGAAUCUUUGAACGCACCUUGCGCUCCUUGGUAUUCCGAGGAGCAUGCCUGUUUGAGUGUCAUUAAAUUCUCAACCUUAUCAUCUUUGAUGAAAAGGCUUGGACUUGGGGGAUUUAUUUGCAGGCUUCAACCAUAUGAAGUUGGCUCCCCUUAAAUGUAUUAGCCGGAAAUGCCCUUGUGGUCCGUCUAUCGGUGUGAUAAUUAUCUACGCUGUGGACAAGGCUGCCAUUUUGUAAUGGGAUUUCUGCUUCAAACCGUCCUUACGGACAAUAUUUGACCAUUUGACCUCAAAUCAGGUAGGACUACCCGCUGAACUUAA
Molecule: ribosomal RNA, 679 nt
Filed under: Descolea recedens
Lineage: Eukaryota; Fungi; Basidiomycota; Agaricomycetes; Agaricales; Bolbitiaceae
Description: eukaryotic LSU rRNA
Rfam family: 5.8S ribosomal RNA (bases 269-422)
Source: RNAcentral